Molecule: transfer RNA, 71 nt
Filed under: Loxodonta africana (African savanna elephant)
Lineage: Eukaryota; Metazoa; Chordata; Mammalia; Proboscidea; Elephantidae
Rfam family: tRNA
About the family: Transfer RNA (tRNA) molecules are approximately 80 nucleotides in length. Their secondary structure includes four short double-helical elements and three loops (D, anti-codon, and T loops).
Source: Rfam by way of RNAcentral
GCAGGGGUGGUUCAGUGGUAGAAUUCUCUCCUUCCAUGCAGGAGACCCGGGUUCAAUACCCAGCCAAUGCA